GGAGGGGGCUAGCGUUGUUCGGAAUCAUUGGGCGUAAAGGGCGCGUAGGCGGCCAUUCAAGUCGGACGUGAAAUCCCUCGGCUCAACCGGGGAACUGCGUCCGAUACUGUUCGGCUUGAGUCCUGGAGAGGGUAAUGGAAUUCCCAGUGUAGCGGUGAAAUGCGUAGAUACUGGGAGGAACACCAGUGGCGAAGGCGGUUACCUGGACAGGUACUGACGCUGAGACACGAAAGCGUGGGGAGCAAACGGGAUUAGAUACCCCGGUAGUCCACGCUGUAAACGGUGCGCACUAGGUGUGGGGGGUAUCGACCCCUCCCGUGCCGCAGUCAACACAUUAAGUGCGCCGCCUGGGGAGUACGGCCGCAAGGUUG
RNAcentral lists this ribosomal RNA (371 nucleotides) under uncultured bacterium. Its description in RNAcentral is "bacterial SSU rRNA". It matches the Rfam family "Bacterial small subunit ribosomal RNA", at positions 527 to 896 of the family's 1533-position model. The record is from RNAcentral.